AUUGAACGCUGGCGGCAGGCCUAACACAUGCAAGUCGAACGAGUGGCGGACGGGUGAGUAAUGUCUGGGAAACUGCCUGAAGGAGGGGGCUAACUACUGGAAACGGUAGCUAAUACCGCAUACCAUCAGAUGUGCCCAGAUGGGAUUAGCUAGUAGGUGGGGUAAAGGCUCACCGAGGCGACGAUCCCUAGCUGGUCUGAGAGGAUGACCAGCCACACUGGAACUGAGACACGGUCCAGAGUCCUGCGGGAGGCAGCAGUGGGGAAUAUUGCACAAUGGGCGCAAGCCUGAUGCAGCCAUGCCGCGUGGAUGAAGAAGGCCUUCGGGUGGUAAAGUACUUUCAGCGGGGAGGCGUUACCCGCCGAAGAAGCCCCGGCUAACUCCGUGCCAGCAGCCGCGGUAAUAC
Molecule: ribosomal RNA, 406 nt
Filed under: uncultured bacterium
Lineage: Bacteria
Description: partial 16S ribosomal RNA
Rfam family: Bacterial small subunit ribosomal RNA
Source: RNAcentral